GGACAGAAUGACAGCAUGGUUAUAUCAAUGGUCCAAUUCUUGGUUCCAACCCUUGAUUGUCCUUUGAGAGCACCACCCAUUCCUUACAACACAUCUCUCCGCUUCAUUUUGGGAGUUUUGAAGUUAUUAAAGUUAUUGAUUUCUUUUCCUUACAACCAAAAUAAUCUAAAUUAAGAUUGUGGCCAAGCUUGGAUUAAAACCUGCCUCCCGGCUCCAAGACCCAUGUUUUUCUAUCAUGCUGACUGGCAGCAAAGACGUCUUCCCAUGGAUUUUUCAGAACUCUGUUCUUUAAAUGUGACCUUGGAUACACCAAACUCAUGCCAUCCAAAGGUUGGAGGAGUGCAGGUGAGCUGGGGUGAACUCACGUUCACAUUGGCUACAAGUAGCUCUCAUUUGGGGACUCAGGCUGAAGAGACAACAGCUUACUGGGAACAUGCUCUCCUAUGGCAAAUGGCAGGACCGCAAGAUGCCAAACUAAACCAUAAAAGCACAUUAAAAACCUCCAUUUGUGGCCAGGCGCAGUGGCUCACGCCUGUAAUCCCAGCACUUUGGGAGGCUGAAGCAGGCAGAUCACGAGGUCAGGAGUUCAAGACCAGCCUGGACAACACAGUGAAACCCCUUCUCUACUAAAAAUACAAAAAUUAGCCAGGUGUGGUGGCACACCUCUGUAGUCCCAGCUACCCAGGAGUCUGAGGCAGGAGAAUUGCUUAAACCCGGGAGGCGGAGGUUGCAGUAAGCCGAGUGAGACUCCGUCUCAAAACAACAAGAACAACAAAAAAAUCCUCCUUUUGCAUCACAUUCUUUAGCAUUUGCCCAGUUAAAUUCCAUUAGGCCAAACCCCAAGUCAAUGGGAUGGGGAUAUAUUCUCCAUCUACUCUGUACAUCAAAGGGUUUGAAUGUAUAGUCCUAUAUAGUCCUGGAGUAAAGAAUUGGGAGUGAUAAUUCAACCAUACCAUGAAUAGAAGAAUGGAUCAAUAAACUGUGGUGUAGUCAUACAAUGAAAUAUUACACAGCAAUGAAAACAAAUGGCCUAGAUCGGCAAACUAUGGCCCAUGGACCAAAUCCAGCUUGCUGCCUGUUUUUGUAAACGAGGUUGUAUUGGAAUGUGGCCACAUUCAUUCAUUUACAUAUUGUCUGUAUCUGCUUUCGCACUGUAAUGACAGAGUUGAGCAGCUGCAACAGACUGUUGGGCCCACAAAGCUUAAAAUAUGAACAAUCUGUCCCUUUCCAGAAAACUUUACCGAGCUCUGAUCUAGAUCUACGCAUAUCAACAUGGAUAAAUCUCACAAACAUAAUGUUACAUGAAAAGACAAGUUGCAGAGGAAUGUAAACCAGAGGAUCCCAUUCACUUAAAGUUCAAAAACAUUCAAAAUAUUCAAAACGGUGCUACAUACUGCUUGUCUUAGUCCCUUUGUGCUGCGAUAACAGAAUACCACAGACUGGGGAAUUUAAGAAAAGAAAUGUAUUGGCUUGCAGUCCUGGAGGCUGGGAAAUCCAAUAUGAAGAUGCCAGCAGAUUUGGUGGUUCUGAUUUCAAGAUGGCGCCUUGAAUGCUGUGACCUCCAGAGGCGAGGAAGGCUUAGUCUUUGCAUGGUGAAAAGUGGAAUGGCAAAAGAGAGCCAGAGGGCGUUGAAUCUGCCCUUUUAUAAUGGCAUGAACCCACACAUGAGGGUGGAGCCCUCAUGGCCCAAUCACCCCUUAAAGAUCCCACCUCUUAAUAUCGUUACAAUGGUAAUUAAUUUUUCAACAUGAGUUUUGGAGGAGACAAAUAUUCAAACCACAGCACGGCUAACUUUCAAACUUGUGCUGUACUAAUGGUAAAUAUAAAAAGCAAGAUAGUGACGGCCCCAGUCACUGGAGAGAUAGAUGUGCCUGGGGCAGGUGCCCGGGGGGGCUCUAUUGCAUGGGUAAUGUUUUCUUUCUUAAGCUGGGUGGAGAUGGUAGUGCAUGGGGAUUAAUUUUAUUGUUAUUUAUACCUUUUAUGUCGGUCCUAAAUAUUUAUAAUAUUAAUAGAAAAAAAAGUUAGAAGAGGUAGGAGAACACAGAGGUAGGGGAAGGGUGUUCCAGGCCCAGGCUCCAGGUUGCAAGGGUGGAGGCAUGAGAAAGACGAGGCAUGGCGUGCACAGGGAGGAGGGAAUGGAGAGAGGAGACUGGGAGGACAGCUGGGUCUUUGGGCCAUUCUAAGGAGUCUGAUUUCAUACCUUGGCCAAGGGAACCCCUUGGGCAGCUCUGCGCUUUUGCACCAUCGUGAUCAGAUUUGCGUUUGAGAACAGUCAGCCUGGUUGCAAUAGGGAGGGUGGUGGGGAGCAGGGCUGCAACACGACCGUAGAGGGAACACCUCCUUAACAUUUGUCCCUGAGGUGCCUCACUCUCUCACCCUACUCCUGGCCCUGGCAUGCCCUCCCUCCUGAAGCCUACAUGGCUCCCUCCAUCCCCUCCUUCCAGUCUUCACUCAAAAGUUGCCUUCUCCACGAGGCCCUCCCUGGCUACUGUCUUUAAAUUGAAUCCCCUCUGAAUUUCCCUUAUUCCCCUUGCUUUUUCUCGAUAGCAUUUCCUGUAUAUUUUGCUUAUUUGUUUUGCUUAUUGUCUUCCUCUACUAGAAUGUAGCUCCUUCUCCUCACUGAUGGAUCCCCAGGGCCUAGCGUAGUGAAGGAUAAUAGGAAAUGUUCACUAAAUAUUUGCUGAAUGAAUGAAUUUAUAGGAACUCCAGAACUGACAGGAAGAUGUCACUUUCUCUUGCUGAUCUCAGCCGCCUGGAGGAUGAAAGCAGCUGUCUGGCCUGAUUCAGGGAUGGGGCUUGGCUCAGAGGAGGCAAAAGAAAGUCAGCAAGAUGGGCGAGGGCUUUGAGAGGCUCCUCUGGGGUGAGGUCUCCAUGUCUUUGGUUAUCAACACACAUGGUGUGGUGUGGAAGAGCAUGGACCCCAGGACUUAUAUCCAGCCCUUCCCGGCCAGCUCUCGCUGGUGGAGAGAGGGCUACCCCCUGCCCACCUCCCUCCUCUGCCAUGUUCCUGCUCCCAGCACCUGCCUUUACCUGGGCGACUCCUGUCAUGGAAUUCUGACCUCUCCAGUCCUGCUUAGCUAAACUCCCUCCCUCGUCCGACCAAUUUCCCCCUUUUUUGGAUUCCUAUACACUGAAACCUGUACUGUUCCACUCAGCCCAACGAUGAAUGCAGCCUCAUAGAGUUCUCA
This is a long non-coding RNA of Pan troglodytes (chimpanzee), 3188 nucleotides long. RefSeq lists it as uncharacterized. The transcript is spliced from 2 exons. The record is from RefSeq and is a predicted model, not a curated record. Lineage: Eukaryota; Metazoa; Chordata; Mammalia; Primates; Hominidae.